RNAcentral lists this ribosomal RNA (253 nucleotides) under uncultured bacterium. Its description in RNAcentral is "partial 16S ribosomal RNA". It matches the Rfam family "Bacterial small subunit ribosomal RNA", at positions 524 to 776 of the family's 1533-position model. The record is from RNAcentral.
GACAGAGGGUGCAAACGUUGCUCGGAAUUACUGGGCGUAAAACGCGUGUAGGCGGGUCGGAAAGUCGGGCGUGAAAUCCCCAGGCUCAACCUGGGAACUGCACUCGAAACUUCCGGUCUAGAGUGGUGGAGAGGGAAGUGGAAUUCCUGGUGUAGAGGUGAAAUUCGUAGAUAUCAGGAGGAACACCAGUGGCGAAGGCGGCUUCCUGGACACCAACUGACGCUGAGACGCGAAAGCGUGGGGAGCAAACAGG